UAAGGAAUAUUGGUCAAUGGACGAAAGUCUGAACCAGCCAUGCCGCGUGGAGGAUUAAGGCCCUCUGGGUUGUAAACUCCUUUUAUCUGGGAAGAAAUGUACUUUUUCUUGAGUACUUGACGGUACCAGAGGAAUAAGCACCGGCUAACUCCGUGCCGGCAGCCGCGGUAAGACGGAGGGGGCUAGCGUAGUUCGGAAUUACUGGGCGUAAAGCGUACGUAGGCGGAUGAGCAAGUUGGGGGUGAAAUCCCGGGGCUUAACCUCGGAAUUGCACUCAAAACUGCACGUCUUGAGAACGGGAGAGGGUAGGGGAAUUCCUAGUGUAGAGGUGAAAUUCGUAGAUAUUAGGAAGAACACCAGUGGCGAAGGCGCCUUACUGGCUCGGUACUGACGCUGAGGUACGAAAGCGUGGGGAGCAAACA
This 422-nucleotide ribosomal RNA is filed under the name uncultured bacterium. Its description in RNAcentral is "bacterial SSU rRNA". It matches the Rfam family "Bacterial small subunit ribosomal RNA", at positions 355 to 774 of the family's 1533-position model. The record is from RNAcentral.